RNAcentral lists this ribosomal RNA (254 nucleotides) under uncultured bacterium. RNAcentral's name for it is "partial 16S ribosomal RNA". It matches the Rfam family "Bacterial small subunit ribosomal RNA", at positions 524 to 776 of the family's 1533-position model. The record is from RNAcentral.
UACGUAGGGGCCCAGCGUUGUCCGGAUUUAUUGGGUGUAAAGAGCUCGUAGGCGGUUCAGUAAGUCGGGUGUGAAAACUCUGGGCUCAACCCAGAGACGCCACCCGAUACUGCUGUGACUUGAGUACGGUAGGGGAGUGGGGAAUUCCUGGUGUAGCGGUGAAAUGCGCAGAUAUCAGGAGGAACACCAGUGGCGAAGGCGCCACUCUGGGCCGUAACUGACGCUGAGGCACGAAAGCGUGGGGAGCAAACAGG